AUUGAACGCUGGCGGUAGGCCUAACACAUGCAAGUCGAACGGCAGCAGACCGUGACAAUCCCUUCGGGGUGCGUUUGGUGCUGGCGAGUGGCGGACGGGUGAGUAACACGUAGGAAUCUGCCUAACAGUGGGGGACAACCCGGGGAAACUCGGGCUAAUACCGGAUAAGACCACAUUUCAUAUGGAAUGUGGGAAAAGGAGUCUCAAUCUUCACUCGAGGAUGAGUUCGCGGACCAUUAGCUUGUUGGUGAGAUAAAAGCUCACCAAGGCAACGAUGGUUAGCCGGCCUGAGAGGGCGAUCGGCCACACUGGAACUGAGACACGGUCCAGACUCCUACGGGAGGCAGCAGUGGGGAAUAUUGCGCAAUGGGCGAAAGCCUGACGCAGCAACACCGUGUGAGCGAUG
Molecule: ribosomal RNA, 406 nt
Filed under: uncultured Nitrospina sp.
Lineage: Bacteria; Pseudomonadati; Nitrospinota; Nitrospinia; Nitrospinales; Nitrospinaceae
Description: bacterial SSU rRNA
Rfam family: Bacterial small subunit ribosomal RNA
Source: RNAcentral